GGUUUAGUGGCUUAGUAGUAGCGCACUCGCACUUCGUCGCUAUAGUACUAGGCGCUACCCCUUACGAGGAUUAUAACUCGUAAGUUAGUACUUAGCGAAUACGUUAUAAGAGGUCGGGGGUUCGAUUCCCUCCUAAACUA
RNAcentral lists this transfer RNA (140 nucleotides) under Aureobasidium melanogenum CBS 110374. It matches the Rfam family "tRNA". Rfam says of the family: Transfer RNA (tRNA) molecules are approximately 80 nucleotides in length. The record is from Rfam by way of RNAcentral. Lineage: Eukaryota; Fungi; Ascomycota; Dothideomycetes; Dothideales; Saccotheciaceae.